RNAcentral lists this ribosomal RNA (1412 nucleotides) under Klebsiella aerogenes. RNAcentral's name for it is "bacterial SSU rRNA". It matches the Rfam family "Bacterial small subunit ribosomal RNA". Lineage: Bacteria; Pseudomonadati; Pseudomonadota; Gammaproteobacteria; Enterobacterales; Enterobacteriaceae. The record is from RNAcentral.
ACCAUGCAGUCGAGCGGUAGCACAGAGAGCUUGCUCUCGGGUGACGAGCGGCGGACGGGUGAGUAAUGUCUGGGAAACUGCCUGAUGGAGGGGGAUAACUACUGGAAACGGUAGCUAAUACCGCAUAACGUCGCAAGACCAAAGUGGGGGACCUUCGGGCCUCAUGCCAUCAGAUGUGCCCAGAUGGGAUUAGCUAGUAGGUGGGGUAAUGGCUCACCUAGGCGACGAUCCCUAGCUGGUCUGAGAGGAUGACCAGCCACACUGGAACUGAGACACGGUCCAGACUCCUACGGGAGGCAGCAGUGGGGAAUAUUGCACAAUGGGCGCAAGCCUGAUGCAGCCAUGCCGCGUGUAUGAAGAAGGCCUUCGGGUUGUAAAGUACUUUCAGCGAGGAGGAAGGCGUUAAGGUUAAUAACCUUGGCGAUUGACGUUACUCGCAGAAGAAGCACCGGCUAACUCCGUGCCAGCAGCCGCGGUAAUACGGAGGGUGCAAGCGUUAAUCGGAAUUACUGGGCGUAAAGCGCACGCAGGCGGUCUGUCAAGUCGGAUGUGAAAUCCCCGGGCUCAACCUGGGAACUGCAUUCGAAACUGGCAGGCUAGAGUCUUGUAGAGGGGGGUAGAAUUCCAGGUGUAGCGGUGAAAUGCGUAGAGAUCUGGAGGAAUACCGGUGGCGAAGGCGGCCCCCUGGACAAAGACUGACGCUCAGGUGCGAAAGCGUGGGGAGCAAACAGGAUUAGAUACCCUGGUAGUCCACGCCGUAAACGAUGUCGACUUGGAGGUUGUGCCCUUGAGGCGUGGCUUCCGGAGCUAACGCGUUAAGUCGACCGCCUGGGGAGUACGGCCGCAAGGUUAAAACUCAAAUGAAUUGACGGGGGCCCGCACAAGCGGUGGAGCAUGUGGUUUAAUUCGAUGCAACGCGAAGAACCUUACCUACUCUUGACAUCCAGAGAACUUAGCAGAGAUGCUUUGGUGCCUUCGGGAACUCUGAGACAGGUGCUGCAUGGCUGUCGUCAGCUCGUGUUGUGAAAUGUUGGGUUAAGUCCCGCAACGAGCGCAACCCUUAUCCUUUGUUGCCAGCGGUCCGGCCGGGAACUCAAAGGAGACUGCCAGUGAUAAACUGGAGGAAGGUGGGGAUGACGUCAAGUCAUCAUGGCCCUUACGAGUAGGGCUACACACGUGCUACAAUGGCAUAUACAAAGAGAAGCGACCUCGCGAGAGCAAGCGGACCUCAUAAAGUAUGUCGUAGUCCGGAUUGGAGUCUGCAACUCGACUCCAUGAAGUCGGAAUCGCUAGUAAUCGUAGAUCAGAAUGCUACGGUGAAUACGUUCCCGGGCCUUGUACACACCGCCCGUCACACCAUGGGAGUGGGUUGCAAAAGAAGUAGGUAGCUUAACCUUCGGGAGGGCGCUACC